AGCUCCAAUAGCGUAUAUUAAAGUUGUUGCAGUUAAAACGCUCGUAGUCGGAUUUCGGGGCGGAUCCGCCGGUCUGCCGAUGGGUAUGCACUGGCGGGCACGUCCUUCCUUCCGGAGGCUGGCCCUACUCUUAACUGAGCGGGGUCGGAAGUCGGAUCGUUUACUUUGAAAAAAUCAGAGUGUUUCAAGCAGGCAUUUCGCUUUUGCAUGGAUUAGCAUGGGAUAAUGAAAUAGGACUUUGGUGCUAUUUUGUUGGUUUCGAACACCGAAGUAAUGAUUAACAGGGACAGUCAGGGGCACUCGUAUUCCGCCGAGAGAGGUGAAAUUCUCAGACCAGCGGAAGACGAACCACUGCGAAAGCAUUUGCCAGGGAUGUUUUCA
RNAcentral lists this ribosomal RNA (381 nucleotides) under uncultured eukaryote. RNAcentral's name for it is "SSU rRNA". It matches the Rfam family "Eukaryotic small subunit ribosomal RNA", at positions 587 to 972 of the family's 1831-position model. The record is from RNAcentral.